UACGUAGGGUGCGAGCGUUGUCCGGAAUUAUUGGGCGUAAAGAGCUCGUAGGCGGUGUGUCGCGUCGGUCGUGAAAACUUGGGGCUUAACCCUGAGCUUGCGGUCGAUACGGGCAUCACUGGAGUUCGGCAGGGGAGACUGGAAUUCCUGGUGUAGCGGUGAAAUGCGCAGAUAUCAGGGGGAACACCGGUGGCGAAGGCGGGUCUCUGGGCCGAUACUGACGCUGAGGAGCGAAAGCGUGGGGAGCGAACAGG
Molecule: ribosomal RNA, 254 nt
Filed under: uncultured bacterium
Lineage: Bacteria
Description: partial 16S ribosomal RNA
Rfam family: Bacterial small subunit ribosomal RNA
Source: RNAcentral